This 75-nucleotide transfer RNA is filed under the name Ruminococcus sp. Its description in RNAcentral is "tRNA-Gln". It matches the Rfam family "tRNA". From Rfam's summary of the family: Transfer RNA (tRNA) molecules are approximately 80 nucleotides in length. Their secondary structure includes four short double-helical elements and three loops (D, anti-codon, and T loops). The record is from RNAcentral. Lineage: Bacteria; Bacillati; Bacillota; Clostridia; Eubacteriales; Oscillospiraceae.
UGGGGUAUAGCAAAGCGGUAAGGCAACAGACUUUGACUCUGGCAGGCGCUGGUUCAAAUCCAGCUACUCCAACCA